GACGAACGCUGGCGGCGCGCUUAACACAUGCAAGUCGAGCGAGAACCAGACCUUCGGGUCUGGGGACAGCGGCGAACGGGUGAGUAACACGUGGGUAAUCAACCCUCGGUACUGGGAUAGCCCGGGGAAACCCGGAUUAAUACCGGAUGGCCCUUCGGAUCUUCGGUUCUGAAGGAAAAGGUAGCUUCGGCCUCCGACCGAGGACGAGCCCGCGGCGGAUUAGCUUGUUGGUGGGGUAACGGCCUACCAAGGCGGCGAUCCGUAGCUGGUCUGAGAGGACGAUCAGCCACACUGAGAGUGAGACACGGCCCAGAGUUCUACGGAAGGCAGCAGUGGGGAAUCUUGCGCUAAUGCGGGAAACCGUGACGCAGCGACGCCGCGUGAGGGAAGAAGGCCUUCGGGUUGUAAACCUCUUUCAGGAGGGAUGAAGCUACUCGGGUUAAUAGCCCAGAGGGUGACGGUACCUUCAGAAGAAGCCCCGGCUAACUACGUGCCAGCCGCCGCCGUAA
Molecule: ribosomal RNA, 509 nt
Filed under: uncultured bacterium
Lineage: Bacteria
Description: partial 16S ribosomal RNA
Rfam family: Bacterial small subunit ribosomal RNA
Source: RNAcentral